GAGUUUGAUCCUGGCUCAGGAUGAACGCUAGCGGCAGGCUUCAUACAUGCAAGUCGAGGGGCAGCAUAAAUUACUUGUAAUUUGAUGGCGACCGGCGAACGGGUGCGUAACGCGUAUGCAACUUACCUUUUACUAGAGAAUAGCCAAGAGAAAUUUUGAUUAAUGCUCUAUGUUCUUAUUUACUCGCAUGAGUAAAUAAGCAAAGCUCCGGCGGUAAAAGAUGGGCAUGCGUCCUAUUAGCUUGUAGGUGAGGUAAUGGCUCACCUAAGCUCCGAUAGGUAGGGGUCCUGAGAGGGAGAUCCCCCACACUGGUACUGAGACACGGACCAGACUUCUACGGAAGGCAGCAGUAAGGAAUAUUGGACAAUGGAGGCAACUCUGAUCCAGCCAUGCCGCGUGAAGGAAGACGGCCUUAUGGGUUGUAAACUUCUUUUAUACAGGAAGAAACCUUUCCACGUGUGGAAAGCUGACGGUACUGUAAGAAUAAGGAUCGGCUAACUCCGUGCCAGCAGCCGCGGUAAUACGGAGGAUCCAAGCGUUAUCCGGAAUUAUUGGGUUUAAAGGGUCCGCAGGCUGUUUGUUAAGUCAGAGGUGAAAUCCUACCGCUCAACGGUAGAACUGCCUUUGAUACUGGCAAACUUGAGUUAUUGUGAAGUAGUUAGAAUGUGUAGUGUAGCGGUGAAAUGCAUAGAUAUUACACAGAAUACCGAUUGCGAAAGCAGAUUACUAACAAUAUACUGACGCUCAGGGACGAAAGCGUGGGUAGCGAACAGGAUUAGAUACCCUGGUAGUCCACGCCGUAAACGAUGGAUACUAGCUGUAUGUCUACUUCAGGUAGAUGUGUGGCUAAGCGAAAGUGAUAAGUAUCCCACCUGGGGAGUACGAUCGCAAGAUUGAAACUCAAAGGAAUUGACGGGGGCCCGCACAAGCGGUGGAGCAUGUGGUUUAAUUCGAUGAUACGCGAGGAACCUUACCAGGGCUUAAAUGUAACGGGACAGAUCUAGAGAUAGAUCCUUCUUCGGACUCAUUACAAGGUGCUGCAUGGUUGUCGUCAGCUCGUGCCGUGAGGUGUCAGGUUAAGUCCUAUAACGAGCGCAACCCCCAUCGUUAGUUGCCAACGAGUAAUGUCGGGAACUCUAACGAAACUGCCGGUGCAAACCGUGAGGAAGGUGGGGAUGACGUCAAAUCAUCACGGCCCUUACGUCCUGGGCUACACACGUGCUACAAUGGUCGGUACAGAGAGCAGCCACUACGCGAGUAGGAGCAAAUCUUCAAAGCCGAUCUCAGUUCGGAUCGGAGUCUGCAACUCGACUCCGUGAAGCUGGAAUCGCUAGUAAUCGGAUAUCAGCCAUGAUCCGGUGAAUACGUUCCCGGGCCUUGCACACAC
This 1387-nucleotide ribosomal RNA is filed under the name uncultured bacterium. RNAcentral describes it as "bacterial SSU rRNA". It matches the Rfam family "Bacterial small subunit ribosomal RNA". The record is from RNAcentral.